GAUGAACGCUGGCGGCGUGCUUAACACAUGCAAGUCGAACGGUGAAGGCGGAGCUUGCUCUGCUGGAUCAGUGGCGAACGGGUGAGUAACACGUGAGCAAUCUGCCCCUGACUCUGGGAUAAGCGCUGGAAACGGCGUCUAAUACUGGAUACGAGCUGCGAAGGCAUCUUCAGCAGCUGGAAAGAAGUUCGGUCAGGGAUGAGCUCGCGGCCUAUCAGCUUGUUGGUGAGGUAAUGGCUCACCAAGGCGUCGACGGGUAGCCGGCCUGAGAGGGUGAACGGCCACACUGGGACUGAGACACGGCGCAGACUCCUACGGGAGGCAGCAGUGGGGAAUAUUGCACAAUGGGCGAAAGCCUGAUGCAGCAACGCCGCGUGAGGGACGACGGCCUUCGGGUUGUAAACCUCUUUUAGCAGGGAAGAAGCGAAAGUGACGGUACCUGCAGAAAAAGCGCCGGCUAACUACGUG
RNAcentral lists this ribosomal RNA (468 nucleotides) under uncultured bacterium. RNAcentral describes it as "partial 16S ribosomal RNA". It matches the Rfam family "Bacterial small subunit ribosomal RNA", at positions 28 to 507 of the family's 1533-position model. The record is from RNAcentral.